Long non-coding RNA from Populus trichocarpa (black cottonwood), 788 nucleotides. RefSeq lists it as uncharacterized. Lineage: Eukaryota; Viridiplantae; Streptophyta; Magnoliopsida; Malpighiales; Salicaceae. The record is from RefSeq and is a predicted model, not a curated record. The transcript has 3 exons.
UCUAUUUUCUGGUUCCGCCCCUGGUUAACGAUCACUGACACUCUCUGGCCCUAUAAAAGGCCAGAGAAAGACGCAGAAAAGGGGAGAAAAGAAAAGGAGGGAGAGCACGAACGGAAACAAAAAAACACAGGGGCGGAGAAAAAAAGAAGAGAACAGGGAGGAGGAAAAAGAUAGACAGAGAGAAUAUACAGAGAAGACAAUAAAAAACAGAAGGCCACAAGAGAACGAAACACCCACAGAACAGGGGACGGACAGGAAGAAACCAAUCAGAGAAAAGCAAGAACAAAGGAGAAGGAAAGAGAAAGGAGCUUAGCCGACGAAUCUUCCAUCACGUUUUCAUCUUCAGAGCUACCAGGAAGUCAUGAUCCACCAGUAUUCUUCCAAGCAACACAGCAUGCUAGUUAUUCGGCAUGCUUGUUGGAGAUGUAGCACAACCGUUGGAGAUGCGCUGAGGUGGGAGUACAUGUUUCUUUUUUAUUUUCUUAUUGGAGUGGGAUAAAUAAGUAUUUUAUUUUUUCUUAAUAAGUUUGAUAUUUUUUUUUUCACAUGGCUAUAUUUAAUUGGUUUAUUUUUUUGUGGCCCCUACUUUGUUGGUUUUGGCUUUUUUAAAAGAUAUGUACAAAUAACAUUUGUGGGACAGAGAAAAGAUAUUUUAGAAUUUUGUUUAAUAUUUUUUUAAAAUAUAUAAAAUAAACAUGAAAGAGUCAAAAUAAUAUUUUUUAAAUAUUUAACUUUUUAUUUAGCAUACCGGUUGGAGAUGCAGCACAACUAUUAGAGAUGCUAUGAGG